This 789-nucleotide long non-coding RNA is filed under the name Brassica napus (rape). RNAcentral describes it as "long non-coding RNA (BNAP_LNC001411)". Lineage: Eukaryota; Viridiplantae; Streptophyta; Magnoliopsida; Brassicales; Brassicaceae. The record is from RNAcentral.
UUAAACUCGAUUGUGAUGUUCAUACCAUAUAAUCAUUUAUUUAGUAUAUGUGGCAUGUAUUAACAUAAACGUCGUAUAGUUAUUAACUUAUUCUCAUACAUUUGAUGGUUUCCACCAUAUUAAUGUAUACAUGGUGUAGGUGGCAAACUUUUUUCCAAAAUAUAUAUAGCUAGAAAGUCUUUUAAUCGUCAAAAUUGAGCACAAAAGUUUUUUUUUUUUUGAAAAAUACUGAGCACAAAAGUUAUUAGUAUCUUUUAUAUCUAGAGAUGAUUCUUGAGACUUCACAACAACAAUCGUGUAAUGGUUGUGGCCUUAUAGAUUGGUUAUGAAAUGUGUCCACUCAGGCACUCAUGAGUUCGAUCAAAUAUAUUUUAAAUUAACUCAAAGUUAUUUAUUUUUGGAUGCUCUAUGUGAUAGUGGUGAUAUAAAAAAGGUAAUAAUAUAUAUCCGACCGAUCUCUCCCGUGCACAAUGGCACUAGUGGAAUGUAACACCGCAUGAGAUCACGCCACAAUGGCAGUAGUUGCCAACAGAUUACAUCAACAAUGAGAAAAGGAAUAGUUCUCAUUAGGAAAUGUCACAAUGGCAGCCCAUACAAACUGGCAUUUUUCAAGUAUGUGUGUAUAAGACAUGUAUUGAAAACUUUCAUUCUUUCAAAAAGUAUUUGAUUUUUACAUUAAUUACAAUCUUCAUUGAAGAUUUAUUUGUAAUAUCUAAACAGCUAAAUAGGAUUUUUGAUCAGCAGUGAAAUGUAAACAUAAUCUUGCCCUUUCAUAAUUUAUAAGACUAA